This is a long non-coding RNA of Nycticebus coucang (slow loris), 4194 nucleotides long. RefSeq lists it as uncharacterized. The transcript has 5 exons. Lineage: Eukaryota; Metazoa; Chordata; Mammalia; Primates; Lorisidae. The record is from RefSeq and is a predicted model, not a curated record.
CUCAUCCUUCCUGAGCUGACUGGGCUUGAGGUUCCUAAGGUAAUGACAGCUCAAUGCCAAACUGCUUCCUUCCCAGCACCCUCAGAGGCCACCCUCAACAUGACAGAAGAGCACAGCUCCCUGGGGUAGAGACAUGAAGGGACAUGAUGGCACAGGUGUCUUGUCCCUUCCAAGAACCCCACCAGCUGGUCAGUCCUUCCCUCCCUCUCUCCUUCCUCCCUCCCUCCCUCCCUCCCUCCCUCCUUCCUUCCUUCCUUCCUUCCUUCCUCCCUCCCUCCCUUCCUUCCUUCCUUCCUUCCUUCUUUCCUUCCUCUUGCACCCUCCAGUUUGGAUCUUCAACUCCUGGAUCACCUCAGGGUGAUCACGUCCAUUCCCCGGGGCUGCUGUGCUGGGGGCACACUGAGCAGUGACCACAAGGGACCUCAGGUCCUCCAGGCACACCCAGGGGUUGGCAAUCCUGGGAGGGGAAGGACGGAUUAUGUUGCAGGGUCAAUGAAAUGCUGUCUCCGGGUUUUGCUCCCAGGCAGACUAAACCGGAUCAAGGGCAACCCCUGGGGGGGCGGGGGGAGGGUCGGAAGGUCUGGUGGGCUGCUCCGCUGCAGCCAGCCUUUCCAAUGGGUCAGUGGGAAACUAAUGAACAAUCCAAGCGUGUUCAUCUCCUAGUGAGGUAAGAAUGGGGAUGGCCCUUUGCUUUGCUUCCUCAAAUCUUAGCAAAUGUCUAUCUCCUAACGCCCACCAUGCCACCGGGCACUUUGGACGCACUGCUCACCUCCUGUUACCUCCUCUGAUAGCAGCUCCUGGCGGAGGGAUCGGGCCCCCUGCGUCUCAGGUGAGGAGACCGCAGCCGGGCGGGAUGCUCCCCCAGCCCGGCGUGAGGCUCUGAGCAAGCGUGCGGGCUGCGAGCUCGGCUCCACGGAUGGACGGUCGGUGCUCCGGCCCCUCGACCCAGCCCCAGACCGCGCUCCUGCUCCCGGGGCCCACCCGCGUGGCGAAGGGCUGGCCUCACCUGGUCUGUCUGCGGAGCCGAGCAGGCUGGGCUCCCGCCUGUACCCGCCCAGCCCAGACUGCUGCCCGUGCCCGCCCACGAGCUCGCUGAGAACGACCGCCCGCUGGGGCGAGGAGCCUGCCUGCAGCCGCAGCUCUGCCCGCGAAGCUGCCCCACACCCACCCCGCCUCCUCUUUUCUAUUCUCUUCUCUCCUCACUCCCCCUCCUCUCCUGUCUUCGUUGUCCCUCCUUCCCUCCCUCCCAGCCUUAGUUUCCUCAUCCAUGUAAUGGGCAUAAGAUCUGCCUUUCAUAAACCUGUUUGGGAUAUUAACUGCAGACCUUCUACGCUCCUGGCUCGCCUGCUUUCCUCGCAGGACUGAACAAGACAGGAUCAGUGUCUUUGUGUCAUCCUGAAGCUCCCAGCCCUGGGGGAGAAGACAGACGAGGGACAAGAAAAUAAAUUAUUCCCCUUCCCUGGGGAAAUGGAGGACACAGCAGGGAGUGAGAUUCAGUGAUUGAGCGACAUGACUGAAGUCACUCACCUAAGAAAUGACCCUGUCUGUUAUGUGAUGUGAGCCCUGCCUGCCAAGCACCCAGGCCUCCGCUGGCUGGCCCUGCAGACUUGCACCUGACGUCUGUUCUUCCUGGACCACUCUUCUCCCUGCUGUGCCUCCCUGAAAAGCUGCUGCUCCUUCACUUCCCAGCUCUGAUGUCUAGGCCAGGAUGGGUUCCUGCAUCCCACAAACCUCCUGUGCCCUGCCACAGAUGCAGAGGCAUAGUUUGGCUGGCUAUUUGCCCAAGCACCCUGCCUCCCCACCCAACUCUAUUUCUGGUGCACAGCUCUUAUCUAUGCCCCCGUCAUGCACAGAGACAGCAUCUGACAGAAGAAGGAAGGAAUACAAAAGAAGGAAGGAAAGAAGGAAGGAAGGAAAAAUUCAAUGAGAUGUGAUGGGCAGCUGUGUGGGGUCUGGGCUGCCUGUAGCCUCCAGGGUCUUGCUGGUGAGGCUUGGAGGCAGGCUUCCAUGUGGGCACAUUUGAGAACCACUGCCCAGGGGUCCCGGACUGAGCCCCGCCCCUGUGGUUAGAGAACAGCCAAAGAGCUGAGAGGUAAGAAAACUGAACCUGAAAAAAGUGGACUAUCUUGUCUCAGUCAGACAACUUCUAGAUGACCGGGUUGAGAUUUGAACCCAAAGUCUGAGCUCCUUCUUCAGGACUAUUUUGCCCCUGAGAGGGACAGGCAGGAGUGUUCCACAUGAAUCACCUUGGAGUCAAAUGUGAGCACCAGUCCUCAGGUGUGUGCAGCCCUUAAGAUGACCUCUCUGUGACCUCUCAAUCCACUGCAAGAUUACUAUUCAAUGAGGAAGCUGAAGGCCAGACCGUGAGGGGAUGGACCCCGAUCACCUGCCCUGUCGGAAACUUACUGGGACUUGGAAUCAGGCCCACUUUGAGAGCCAGUAUAAUGAGUGUCCACAUGCUGGGGAUUGGGGCCAUCUGGCAAGGCCUCAGAUUCUCAUCUGUAAAGUGAAACUAAUAAUAAAAUCCACCUCAAGAGUUGUGAGGAGAAAUGAGGUGAGAUUCAAACAGCUCUUAACACAGGCAUGGGCAGGAAACACGUGGCCGAGCUGCCUCUGCUGGUAGGAGUCCUGUGUCCCAGUGCCUGCCCACUUCCCUGAGGUCCCAGCCCCAGAGCCAAUAUGCGGUUGCUAUCCAUUCUGAUUGGAAGCCUCUCCAGCCCCAUGUCAAAACCCACACCUCUCACCUGGAUUAGUCCAACAUGGUCCUGAGAGGCCCCACCAGCUCAGCCUCCGUGAGCUUCUAAAAUCAGUCUGCCUCUGUUUCUCCUUCAGCCCUUCUUGUGCUGCCUCCUUCAGACUCAUUCUCCACUUAAACUCUUCAUUGUUAGGAAGCAGCAUUGAGUUUCAUGUAUCCAGGCGUACGCAGGUGUUGCUUUCACAGGUCUCACCAAGCUCAUCAUUCUGGGAGACCCAGGCCACAUAAACAGUUCUCCGUGACACAUGCCACAACCCCCUCAUUCUAAAGGGAAGCUGCCAAGGGUGACACAUGCACAGAUAGCUUGUGGGAAUCUGUCAUGGAAAAUCUAUAGCAGAUGAAAGCUACAUUAAUAAUCCAGGAAAAACAGCUUAUUUUCUGGUUCUUAUAAAUAGAAAACCAAAGAUCCCUGCACAUUGAGAAAAUCAACAGCACAAAUGAGAUAGGUCAAAAUGAACAAACAAGGGCUGGCAUGGUGGCUCGCCCUGUAAUCCCAGCACUCUGUGAGGCCGAGGAAGUGGAUUGCCUGAGCCCAGGAGUUAGAUCCCAGCCUGAGCAAGAAUGAGACCUUGUCUUUUUAAAACAUUAAAAGAAAAUAAGAAUAAAUAAGAUAACCAACCCCAAAAGAAACUGAAAUAACUCCAGGAAUAGAAAAGAACUUUGAGAGAUCAAAAGCUUCCUUUAAUCCUUAGAUUACCAAAGAUGCUGGAAGUAGAUGAAGUAAAAGAGACCAAAAAAAGCAAGUGAGAAAUCUUGAAAAUUAAACAUAUGAUUGCUGAAAUUUGAAAACAUUAGACAGAAUGGAAGAACACGGUAUGGAAAUAUUACACAAUGUAGAGCAAAAACACAAAAAUAUGGAAAAACCUCAGGGCAAAAAUAAGAGACCUAGUUGAUUGAUACAAAUGACCCAUCAUCCGAUUAACAAAAUUUCCAGGAAGGGAGAACAAAGAUAAUGAAAGGUAGCACAUCGAUCAUGGUGUAAGCAGAAAAAAUAAUUCACCCUCACUUUAGUAGAAAAGCAACUUACAGAGAUGCAGGCUGGGUUAAGGGGAAAACAAACAAAUGAUCAAAUGAUCAGGCACUCAGAGCUCAGCUGCAGUGAGAAGUAGUUACCACCCUACAGGUAAAGGAACAGAAGGAGAAAACCAUGUUACCAGAGCCAGAGGACUGUGGAGGAAGGACCACCCAGUGACAGCUGCUGGGGCCUGGAGGCAUGCCACCAUCACCAGACUCAGCAUCUAAACAAGGGGAAGUACAAAAGAACUAUGCCAACCUCCUUCUCCUUCCGCCUCCAGCCUCCCAUGCGCCCCUCGCAUUGACCAAACUCAACUGGAAUCCUGCCAGUAAAGGGAUCGUCUGGCCUGGGCACAAAGAAGGGCAGAGAACAAGAGCGGAGAAUGGACCUGGGUGGAGUACAAGCAAAGUAGCCAACACAUAAA